Molecule: ribosomal RNA, 402 nt
Filed under: uncultured bacterium
Lineage: Bacteria
Description: bacterial SSU rRNA
Rfam family: Bacterial small subunit ribosomal RNA
Source: RNAcentral
UAAGGAAUAUUGGUCAAUGGACGAAAGUCUGAACCAGCCAUGCCGCGUGAAGGAUGAAGGUCCUCUGGAUUGUAAACUUCUUUUAUCUGGGACGAAAAAAGGGAAUUCUUUCUCACUUGACGGUACCAGAAGAAUAAGCACCGGCUAACUCCGUGCCAGCAGCCGCGGUAAUACGGAGGGUGCAAGCGUUAUCCGGAUUCACUGGGUUUAAAGGGUGCGUAGGUGGGCAGUUAAGUCAGUGGUGAAUCUCCGGGCUUAACCCGGAAACUGCCAUUGAUACUAUCUGUCUUGAAUACUCUGGAGGUAAGCGGAAUAUGUCAGUGUAGCGGUGAAAUGCUUAGAUAUGACAUAGAACACCGAUUGCGAAGGCAGCUUACUACGGAGUCAAUUGACACUGAGGAC